Molecule: ribosomal RNA, 1346 nt
Filed under: uncultured bacterium
Lineage: Bacteria
Description: partial 16S ribosomal RNA
Rfam family: Bacterial small subunit ribosomal RNA
Source: RNAcentral
GACGAACGCUGGCGGCGUGCUUAACACAUGCAAGUCGAACGGAAAGGCCCUGCUUUUGUGGGGUGCUCGAGUGGCGAACGGGUGAGUAACACGUGAGUAACCUGCCCUUGACUUUGGGAUAACUUCAGGAAACUGGGGCUAAUACCGGAUAGGAGCUCCUGCUGCAUGGUGGGGGUUGGAAAGUUUCGGCGGUUGGGGAUGGACUCGCGGCUUAUCAGCUUGUUGGUGGGGUAGUGGCUUACCAAGGCUUUGACGGGUAGCCGGCCUGAGAGGGUGACCGGCCACAUUGGGACUGAGAUACGGCCCAGACUCCUACGGGAGGCAGCAGUGGGGAAUAUUGCACAAUGGGCGGAAGCCUGAUGCAGCAACGCCGCGUGCGGGAUGACGGCCUUCGGGUUGUAAACCGCUUUCGCCUGUGACGAAGCGUGAGUGACGGUAAUGGGUAAAGAAGCACCGGCUAACUACGUGCCAGCAGCCGCGGUGAUACGUAGGGUGCGAGCGUUGUCCGGAUUUAUUGGGCGUAAAGGGCUCGUAGGUGGUUGAUCGCGUCGGAAGUGUAAUCUUGGGGCUUAACCCUGAGCGUGCUUUCGAUACGGGUUGACUUGAGGAAGGUAGGGGAGAAUGGAAUUCCUGGUGGAGCGGUGGAAUGCGCAGAUAUCAGGAGGAACACCAGUGGCGAAGGCGGUUCUCUGGGCCUUUCCUGACGCUGAGGAGCGAAAGCGUGGGGAGCGAACAGGCUUAGAUACCCUGGUAGUCCACGCUGUAAACGGUGGGUACUAGGUGUGGGGUCCAUUCCACGGGUUCCGUGCCGUAGCUAACGCUUUAAGUACCCCGCCUGGGGAGUACGGCCGCAAGGCUAAAACUCAAAGGAAUUGACGGGGCCCCGCACAAGCGGCGGAGCAUGCGGAUUAAUUCGAUGCAACGCGUAGAACCUUACCUGGGUUUGACAUGGAUCGGGAGUGCUCAGAGAUGGGUGUGCCUCUUUUGGGGUCGGUUCACAGGUGGUGCAUGGCUGUCGUCAGCUCGUGUCGUGAGAUGUUGGGUUAAGUCCCGCAACGAGCGCAACCCUUGUUCACUGUUGCCAGCACGUUAUGGUGGGGACUCAGUGGAGACCGCCGGGCUCAACUCGGAGGAAGGUGGGGAUGACGUCAAGUCAUCAUGCCCCUUAUGUCCAGGGCUUCACGCAUGCUACAAUGGCUGGUACAGAGAGUGGCGAGCCUGUGAGGGUGAGCGAAUCUCGGAAAGCCGGUCUCAGUUCGGAUUGGGGUCUGCAACUCGACCUCAUGAAGUCGGAGUCGCUAGUAAUCGCAGAUCAGCAACGCUGCGGUGAAUACGUUCCCGGGGCU